AUACGGGGGGUGCAAGCGUUAUUCGGAUUUAUUGGGCGUAAAGGGCGCGUAGGCGGCUUGGUAAGUCAGAUGUGAAAGCCCGGGGCUCAACCCCGGAAGUGCAUUUGAAACUAUCAGGCUUGAGUAUGGGAGAGGGAAGUGGAAUUCCUGGUGUAGAAGUGAAAUUCGUAGAUAUCAGGAGGAACACCGGUGGCGAAGGCGACUUCCUGGACCAAUACUGACGCUGAGGCGCGAAGGCGUGGGGAGCAAACAGGAUUAGAAACCCCAGUAGUCC
This 274-nucleotide ribosomal RNA is filed under the name uncultured bacterium. Its description in RNAcentral is "partial 16S ribosomal RNA". It matches the Rfam family "Bacterial small subunit ribosomal RNA", at positions 523 to 796 of the family's 1533-position model. The record is from RNAcentral.